GGGUGCUUGAGGCUAUCUGCUUCAGGCAUUACCCGAAAAGCAGAUAGAAGAAAGCCCCAGAUAACAUUACGCGUCCUGCAAGACGCUUAACAUUAAUCUGAGGCCAUAUCUAUGCUUAGCAUACGUAGAUUAGCCUCUUACCGACCAAAAGGUCAAGGAGAAGCAGGCUAUGAAG
Molecule: antisense RNA, 175 nt
Filed under: Escherichia coli
Lineage: Bacteria; Pseudomonadati; Pseudomonadota; Gammaproteobacteria; Enterobacterales; Enterobacteriaceae
Description: sok antitoxin (CssrC)
Rfam family: sok antitoxin (CssrC)
About the family: Also identified in Shigella as CssrC.
Source: RNAcentral